CAAGUCGAGCGAUGAAACUACUUCGGUAGUGAAUUAGCGGCGAACGGGUGAGGAACACGUGAGGAAUCUGCCUUCAACACUGGGAUAACUCCGGGAAACCGGGGCUAAUACCGGAUACGAGCUCUGAUCGCAUGGUCGGGGCUGGAAAGUUUUUCGGUUGAAGAUGACCUCGCGGCCUAUCAGCUUGUUGGUGAGGUAAUGGCUCACCAAGGCGACGACGGGUAGCCGGCCUGAGAGGGCGACCGGCCACACUGGGACUGAGACACGGCCCAGACUCCUACGGGAGGCAGCAGUGGGGAAUAUUGGGCAAUGGAGGAAACUCUGACCCAGCGACGCCGCGUGCGGGGUGAAGGCCUUCGGGUUGUAAACCGCUUUCAGUAGGGAAGAAGCGAAAGUGACGGUACCUACAGAAGAAGCACCGGCUAACUAUGUGCCAGCAGCCGCGGUAAUACAUAGGGUGCAAGCGUUGUCCGGAAUUAUUGGGCGUAAAGAGCUCGUAGGUGGUUUGAUACGUCGGGUGUGAAAUUCAGGGGCUCAACCCCUGACCUGCAUUCGAUACGGUCAAGCUAGAGUUUGGUAGGGGAGACUGGAAUUCCUGGUGUAGCGGUGGAAUGCGCAGAUAUCAGGAGGAACACCGAUGGCGAAGGCAGGUCUCUGGGCCAAUACUGACACUGAGGAGCGAAAGCGUGGGGAGCGAACAGGAUUAGAUACCCUGGUAGUCCACGCCGUAAACGAUGGGCGCUAGUUGUGCGAACCUUCCACGGUUUGUGCGACGCAGCUAACGCAUUAAGCGCCCCGCCUGGGGAGUACGAUCGCAAGAUUAAAACUCAAAGGAAUUGACGG
This 843-nucleotide ribosomal RNA is filed under the name uncultured bacterium. RNAcentral's name for it is "bacterial SSU rRNA". It matches the Rfam family "Bacterial small subunit ribosomal RNA", at positions 58 to 916 of the family's 1533-position model. The record is from RNAcentral.